This 253-nucleotide ribosomal RNA is filed under the name uncultured bacterium. Its description in RNAcentral is "partial 16S ribosomal RNA". It matches the Rfam family "Bacterial small subunit ribosomal RNA", at positions 524 to 776 of the family's 1533-position model. The record is from RNAcentral.
GACGAACCAUGCAAACGUUAAUCGGAAUUACUGGGCGUAAAGCGUGCGCAGGCGGCUUUGCAAGACAGAUGUGAAAUCCCCGGGCUCAACCUGGGAACUGCAUUUGUGACUGCAUGGCUGGAGUGCGGCAGAGGGGGAUGGAAUUCCGCGUGUAGCAGUGAAAUGCGUAGAUAUGCGGAGGAACACCGAUGGCGAAGGCAAUCCCCUGGGCCUGCACUGACGCUCAUGCACGAAAGCGUGGGGAGCAAACAGG